GACGAACGCUGGCGGCGUGCUUAACACAUGCAAGUCGAACGGAAAGGCCCUGCUUUUGUGGGGUGCUCGAGUGGCGAACGGGUGAGUAACACGUGAGUAACCUGCCCUUGACUUUGGGAUAACUUCAGGAAACUGUGGCUAAUACCGGAUAGGAGCUCCUGCUGCAUGGUGGGGGUUGGAAAGUUUAGGCGGUUGGGGAUGGACUCGCGGCUAAUCAGCUUGUUGGUGGGGUAGUGGCUUACCAAGCCUUUGACGGGUAGCCGGCCUGAGAGGUUGACCGGCGCCAAUGGGACUGAGAUACGGCCCAGUCUCGUACGGGAGACAGCAGUGGGGAAUAUUGCACAAUGGGGGGGAGCCUGAUGCAGCAGCGCCGCGUGCGGGAAGACGGCCUUGGGGUAGUAAACCGCAUUCGCCCGUGACGACGCGUGAGUGACGGUAAUGGGUGAAGAAGCACCGGCUAACUACGUG
RNAcentral lists this ribosomal RNA (468 nucleotides) under uncultured bacterium. RNAcentral's name for it is "partial 16S ribosomal RNA". It matches the Rfam family "Bacterial small subunit ribosomal RNA", at positions 28 to 507 of the family's 1533-position model. The record is from RNAcentral.